AGGAAUUGGCGGGGGAGCACUACAACGGGUGGAGCCUGCGGUUCAAUUGGAUUCAACGCCGGAAAGCUUACCGGACUCGACAGCACUAUGAAGGUCAGGCUAAAGACCUUACCGAAUUCGCUGAGAGGAGGUGCAUGGCCGUCGUCAGUUCGUAUCGUGAGACAUCCUGUUAAGUCAGGCAACGAGCAAGACCCGUGCCCACAGUUGCCAGCAUUUUCGCAAGAAGGAUGGGCACACUGUGGGGACCGCCGCUGCUAAAGCGGAGGAAGGAGCGGGCUACGGUAGGUCAGUAUGCCCCGAAUGGUCCGGGCUACACGCGGGCUACAAUGGUUGCCCC
RNAcentral lists this ribosomal RNA (337 nucleotides) under uncultured archaeon. Its description in RNAcentral is "bacterial SSU rRNA". It matches the Rfam family "Archaeal small subunit ribosomal RNA", at positions 860 to 1196 of the family's 1478-position model. The record is from RNAcentral.